RNAcentral lists this long non-coding RNA (706 nucleotides) under Helianthus annuus (common sunflower). Its description in RNAcentral is "sRNA HanXRQr2_Chr16g0760371". The record is from RNAcentral. Lineage: Eukaryota; Viridiplantae; Streptophyta; Magnoliopsida; Asterales; Asteraceae.
GUGCACCAGUUCGAUAAAAUGCAACCCUUUUCUCCCUACAGAAACCACUCACAUUUUAUCUAGCACACCACAGAAGAAUGACUAAAGGCAACUAAAGACUUUUUAAAGAGAAAGGCAAGAUCAAGAAACAAAAACCCCUAGACUUAGAGUCAUAAGCACUGAUAUUUACAAUCCCGAUACUCAUGACUGAUACUCAUGACUGGGGCUGAUGAUGGGUACUCGGAGAUCCCAGUCAGCAAAGUCAAAGUUAACAACAAUCGCAAGAAUAUAAGAAAGAAUGCUAAACAUAAACUAAAAGAAAGAAACUGAAAGUCAGGAGAAGCUGAUACACCAACAGCUGAUGACAGGAAGCUAAGAUUACUGUACAACAUUGGAACUUGAACUAAACAGGUAAAACUGAUUAGACCUCUCUCUACAACACAUAAAGGUGUCCCCGAGACACACAAACCUAAAACAUACCUAAAGAGGCAAGGCUAACCCUGCAAGCAACAUUAGAGAAUGAUAAGCUUACCAAGUCUGGAAGGUACAAGCUGGCAUGAGGCUCCCUUGGGCAGAGCAAUCUGCCUAUAAAAGGAGGGUCUUGUUCCAGCCCAAAAUUCCAACCAAGGAGCUACCUUUUGGAGUUGAUCCUCGACCUUCCCCCCUGCCAUAGUGGACUUUACUAUAGAACCACUCCCCUUUUGGCGAUGCCUGUAAGUUGUGGAUA